CUACGGGUCGCACCAGUGGGGAAUAUUGCGCAAUGGAGGAAACUCUGACGCAGCCAUGCCGCGUGAGUGAAGAAGGCCCUAGGGUUGUAAAACUCUUUCAGUCGUGAAGAUGAUGACGGUAACGACAGAAGAAGCACCGGCUAACUCCGUGCCAGCAGCCGCGGUAAUACGGAGGGUGCUAGCGUUGUUCGGAUUUACUGGGCGUAAAGGGCGCGUAGGCGGAUAUAUCAGUCAGAGGUGAAAGCCCCGGGCUUAACCUGGGAACUGCCUUUGAUACUGUAUAUCUAGAGUCCGAGAGAGGGUGGUGGAACUCCAAGUGUAGAGGUGAAAUUCGUAGAUAUUUGGAAGAACACCAGUGGCGAAGGCGGCCACCUGGCUCGGUACUGACGCUGAGGCGCGAAAGCGUGGGGAGCAAACAGGAUUAGAUACCCGUGUAGUC
This 439-nucleotide ribosomal RNA is filed under the name uncultured bacterium. RNAcentral's name for it is "partial 16S ribosomal RNA". It matches the Rfam family "Bacterial small subunit ribosomal RNA", at positions 339 to 795 of the family's 1533-position model. The record is from RNAcentral.